GAUCAUGGCUCAGGAUGAACGCUAGCUACAGGCUUAACACAUGCAAGUCGAGGGGCAGCAUGUCGGUUGCUUGCAACCGACGAUGGCGACCGGCGCACGGGUGAGUAACGCGUAUCCAACCUACCCUUGUCCAUCGGAUAACCCGUCGAAAAGGCGGCCUAACACGAUAUGCGGUUCACAGCAGGCAUCUAAUGUGAACGAAAUGUGAAGGAGAAGGAUGGGGAUGCGUCUGAUUAGCUUGUUGGCGGGGUAACGGCCCACCAAGGCGACGAUCAGUAGGGGUUCUGAGAGGAAGGUCCCCCACAUUGGAACUGAGACACGGUCCAAACUCCUACGGGAGGCAGCAGUGAGGAAUAUUGGUCAAUGGGCGCAAGCCUGAACCAGCCAAGUAGCGUGCAGGAAGACGGCCCUAUGGGUUGUAAACUGCUUUCAGUCGGGAAUAAUUCGUCGGUCGUGACCGACGUUGCAGGUACCGUCAUAAGAAGGACCGGCUAAUUCCGUG
This 502-nucleotide ribosomal RNA is filed under the name uncultured bacterium. RNAcentral's name for it is "bacterial SSU rRNA". It matches the Rfam family "Bacterial small subunit ribosomal RNA", at positions 15 to 507 of the family's 1533-position model. The record is from RNAcentral.